CCUACGGGUGGCAGCAGUGAGGAAUAUUGGUCAAUGGGCGCAAUCCUGAACCAGCCAAGUCGCGUGAGGGAUGACGGUCCUAUGGAUUGUAAACCUCUUUUGUCGGGGAGCAAGGCCCGCCACGUGUGGCGGGAAGGAGAGUACCCGAAGAAAAACCAUCGGCUAACCCCGUGCCAGCAGCCGCGGUAAUACGGAGGAUGCGAGCGUUAUCCGGAUUUAUUGGGUUUAAAGGGUGCGUAGGCGGAAGGUUAAGUCAGCGGUAAAAUGGCGGUGCUCAACACCGGCCAGCCGUUGAAACUGGUCUACUUGAGUGAGCGAGAAGUAUGCGGAAUGCGUGGUGUAGCGGUGAAAUGCAUAGAUAUCGCGCAGAACUCCGAUUGCGAAGGCAGCAUACCGGCGCUCAACUGACGCUGAGGCACGAAAGCGUGGGGAUCGAACAGGAUUAGAUACCCCAGUAGUC
Molecule: ribosomal RNA, 460 nt
Filed under: uncultured bacterium
Lineage: Bacteria
Description: partial 16S ribosomal RNA
Rfam family: Bacterial small subunit ribosomal RNA
Source: RNAcentral